RNAcentral lists this long non-coding RNA (455 nucleotides) under Amphimedon queenslandica. RNAcentral's name for it is "uncharacterized LOC109582088, transcript variant X3". Lineage: Eukaryota; Metazoa; Porifera; Demospongiae; Haplosclerida; Niphatidae. The record is from RNAcentral.
UAAGAUUAUAUUUACUUGAAAAGGAUCACAUUCCUAUUACUCAUUGAUUGAAAUAUUAUCCAAACUAAACCUUACCCAUUAUAAUGUUUUUGUUAAGACCCUUUGUGAAGAGUCUUUCCUUGAAGUGCUUGUUUAUGCAGGGUAACAUCACUGCUACUCUGAGUAUACUGAGUUUUGGUUAUUAUAGGGGUGAGUGCAACUGAUGAAGUUCCUGUGCAGUUAAAGCUAUGGGAUGAAAUGGAGUGUUAUUAGGUUUACCAAUCCAUGCACUAAUUACAGUACAUACAGCUCUCUCAAAGGAUAGUAAUUGCUGGUUAGUUGAUUAGAGGCUAGUGGAAAGUGAAUCGCGUUUAAAGUGUAAAGAAGUGGCUGGCAAUGAGCAUGUUUGGACUACUGACGAUUUAAAGCUAACAAAUACAAAAAGUUAUUAUUUUUACAAUAAAUUUUGUACAAUU